This 548-nucleotide ribosomal RNA is filed under the name uncultured Bacillota bacterium. RNAcentral's name for it is "uncultured Firmicutes bacterium partial 16S ribosomal RNA". Lineage: Bacteria; Bacillati; Bacillota. The record is from RNAcentral.
UUACCGCGGCUGCUGGCACGUAGUUAGCCAGUGCUUCCUCCAAAGGUACCGUCAGGUGGAUGUCAUUGAACUACAUCCACGGUUCUUCCCUAAGGACAGAGCUUUACAAUCCGAAGACCGUCUUCACUCACGCGGCGUUGCUCCAUCAGGCUUUCGCCCAUUGUGGAAGAUUCCCCACUGCUGCCUCCCGUAGGAGUCUGGACCGUGUCUCAGUUCCAGUGUGACUGAUCGUCCUCUCAGACCAGCUAUAGAUUGUUGCCCUGGUGAGCCAUUACCUCACCAGCUAGCUAAUCUACCGCGAACUCCUCCUCAAACGAUGGCAAAACCACCUUUUCUGAUUGUGUGAUGCCACACUCUCAGCUUAUCCGGGGUUAGCCCGACUUUCGCCAGGUUAUCCCAGAGUUGAGGACAGAUUAUUCACGUGUUACUCACCCGUCCGCCACUAUCUAGAUCUCGUCGUCAACCCGAAGGUAUCAGUCGAGGUAGACCGUUCGACUUGCAUGUGUUAAGCACGCCGCCAGCGUUCGUCCUGAGCCAUGAUCAAACUC